UUUAAUUUGCAGACUCAUAAUGAGUCUGAGAGUUUAGGGUUCCACAGUGGAGCCAUAACGUCAACAAAAAACCCACAUCGUCAAAGGAAACCCCAAAAUCUUAGGGAUUCAAAAUUGAACCAGACAUGGAAGCGGGAAAGCAAGCCAUUCGUUUCAGGGUUCCAACGAAACAUAUAUGAUAGCUUGUUUGAAAAACAUAGGAAAAACUUAUGAAGAUUAUAUUUGAGAAAACUUGGCAACUAACAAGUUCAGAAGAAUGAGAUAAUACAAAUGUGAAAACAAGUAGAUGAAGCAUGUAGGAACAUGAACAGAGUCCAGUAAACGAAAUCAAAUAAUCUUGUCGGUAAACACACAUAGUAAAAGAGUAAAUAAAAUUAAGGAAGGAUUAACAGGAAUAAUAUUCAUUUAAGGAAGGAUUAACAGG
This 424-nucleotide long non-coding RNA is filed under the name Nicotiana benthamiana. RNAcentral describes it as "long non-coding RNA (NBEN_LNC015758)". Lineage: Eukaryota; Viridiplantae; Streptophyta; Magnoliopsida; Solanales; Solanaceae. The record is from RNAcentral.